UCAACUUUGUAUACCCUUAAUGUUUAUUAUUUUAUUUUUUUCAAUUAACGUUUUACCUGACUGGCCUUGACUCGUAAUUUCAGCAUUCACGCUCGAUAGUAUGUAACUAUCACUAGGAUAUCACUAUUAGUUCUAAAUGCAUAAUUAUGCUAGAAAUUUUUUUCCGCUCAAUUUCUGACACUUGAAAUGCAGUAGUAAAUCCCCAGGCUCAAGCUUCAAACUUCAUGGAUGCAAACAGCGCGCUUUUCGACACCUCCCGCUUUUUUCGCGUCAGUCUGCAUGACUUGUGUGAAUCGUUCAGUUCUGAGAGGUUCUGAUUAUAAUUUCACAAAGUCAUCUGAAGUCAUUCCAUAGCUUAAUCUGAGGGACAGAAUUAUAUUUAGAUCAUUAAAUUACAGUUUACGGAAACAUGUCUUCCCUCUCCCUGCGGCUGAAAUCAUUCUCCAUUUUAUAUUCAAACCGCGCGCCUCGUCCGUUACAGCAGGAUCGAGCAGGAUACACGCUUCAGGGAAGCAGCCACCAAUCAGUUGUUCCUGCUGUGCAAAUUAUUUGGAAUCUCCUGCCAGUGAUCAUGGCUUGUGGAUAAUGAGGUUGAAGAACUGGAGCAGACAACCAUGAUGAUCUUUAUCACUGGGAAAGAGGAUCAUCUCCAUCCACCUAAAGACAUUUAAAUUAUUGUCGAAGGAAAAGAGGUCCUGAACGAGUUGCCAUCGGUUGCUGGGCUCAUAUAUACACUAAACCUAAAAUAUCCAAAAAGGCUACAGUUCACCUUUGAAUUUGUGCAAAAUGUCCUGAUGGAGCUUGAUGGAAUAAAGAUGACCCCAAAAUUCACUAGACUGACCACCCAGCUGUACAGGGAUUAAUUGUAUAAUUGCAUUAUUGUUACAUUUUAUUGUGUUUUUACAGCCAAGUCUUUAGAUCCUUUUAAUAAAAAGGUUGUACUAACAAGGCUGCAUUUUCACUGCAGCAUUUACAAAUGUGGCUGCCCAAGUUCGAUGGCUACCAGGUACAAAGGUUGAAUAAGGCCAAGUCUUAUGAACAACUGAAGAGACUGAUUGCAGUGUUUCAAGUAUUUCUGCUGUCAAUCUUCAUACAUUUGAAGCAAAUAUUCAAUGUUGUGAGUUUAUUGAACAAUAAAAAUGUUUUC
Molecule: long non-coding RNA, 1147 nt
Organism: Carassius auratus (goldfish)
Lineage: Eukaryota; Metazoa; Chordata; Actinopteri; Cypriniformes; Cyprinidae
Exons: 3
Source: RefSeq, a predicted model, not a curated record